This 253-nucleotide ribosomal RNA is filed under the name uncultured bacterium. RNAcentral's name for it is "partial 16S ribosomal RNA". It matches the Rfam family "Bacterial small subunit ribosomal RNA", at positions 524 to 776 of the family's 1533-position model. The record is from RNAcentral.
UACGAGGGGUCCUAGCGUUGUUCGGAAUCAUUGGGCGUAAAGAGUCUGUAGGCGGCCAUGUAAGUCAGGUGUGAAAGCCCCGGGCUCAACCCGGGAAGUGCAUUUGAUACUGCAUGGCUUGAAUGUUGGAGAGGAUAGUAGAAUUCCUGGUGUAGUGGUGAAAUACGUAGAUAUCAGGAGGAAUACCGGUGGCGAAGGCGGCUAUCUGGCCAAACAUUGACGCUGAGAGACGAAAGCGUGGGUAGCAAACAGG